RNAcentral lists this ribosomal RNA (465 nucleotides) under uncultured bacterium. RNAcentral's name for it is "partial 16S ribosomal RNA". It matches the Rfam family "Bacterial small subunit ribosomal RNA", at positions 339 to 795 of the family's 1533-position model. The record is from RNAcentral.
CUACGGGGUGCUGCAGUGGGGAAUAUUGGACAAUGGGGGAAACCCUGAUCCAGCAAUGCCGCGUGUGUGAAGAAGGCCUGCGGGUUGUAAAGCACUUUCGGUUGGGAGGACUGCUUCUAGCACUAAUAUUGUUGGAAGUUGACGUUACCUUCAGAAGAAGCACCGGCUAACUCCGUGCCAGCAGCCGCGGUAAUACGGGCGGUGCAAGCGUUAAUCGGAAUUACUGGGCGUAAAGCGCGCGUAGGCGGCUAGAUCAGUCGGGUGUGAAAGCCCCGGGCUUAACCUGGGAACUGCAUCCGAUACUGUCUAGCUUGAGUACAGGAGAGGAGAGUGGAAUUCCACAUGUAGCGGUGAAAUGCGUAGAUAUGUGGAGGAACACCAAUGGCGAAGGCAGCUCUCUGGCCUGAUACUGACGCUGAGGUGCGAAAGCGUGGGGAGCAAACAGGAUUAGAUACCCUUGUAGUC